This 458-nucleotide ribosomal RNA is filed under the name uncultured bacterium. Its description in RNAcentral is "partial 16S ribosomal RNA". It matches the Rfam family "Bacterial small subunit ribosomal RNA", at positions 338 to 795 of the family's 1533-position model. The record is from RNAcentral.
CCUACGGGAGGCAGCAGUGAGGAAUAUUGGUCAAUGGCCGGAAGGCUGAACCAGCCAAGUCGCGUGAGGGACGACUGCCCUAUGGGUUGUAAACCUCUUUAUAAGGGAAGAAUAAAUGCUACGUGGAGCAUGAUGGCUGUACCUUAUGGAUAAGCAUCGGCAAACCCCGUUCCAGCAGCCGCGGUAAUACGGAGGAUGCGGCGUUUAUCCGGGUUUAGUGGGGUUAAAGGGUGCGUAGGCGGUUUUUUAAGUUUGUGGUUAAACGUCGGGGUCUCCCCCUGAUUUGUCAUUAAUACUGUUAGACUCGAGUUCAGACGCGGUAGGCGGAAUGAGUUAAGUAGCGGUGAAAUGCUUAGAUAUAACUUAGAACUCCGAUAGCGAAGGCAGCUUACCAGACUGCGACUGACGCUGAAGCACGAGAGCGUGGGUAGCGAACAGGAUUAGAUACCCUUGUAGUC